AGUUUUCAUAAUUUAAGUAAAAUACUGGUCUUGUAAACCAAAAAUGAAUAAUUUCUGAAAACUUC
Molecule: transfer RNA, 65 nt
Filed under: unidentified
Description: Chlorophila portschinski tRNA-Thr
Rfam family: tRNA
About the family: Transfer RNA (tRNA) molecules are approximately 80 nucleotides in length.
Source: RNAcentral